GGCUUAGCUCAGUUGGUAGAGCACCGCUCUUGUAAAGCGGGGGUCGUGGGUUCGAGCCCCUCAGCCGG
RNAcentral lists this transfer RNA (68 nucleotides) under Candidatus Microbacterium stercoravium. It matches the Rfam family "tRNA". From Rfam's summary of the family: Transfer RNA (tRNA) molecules are approximately 80 nucleotides in length. Their secondary structure includes four short double-helical elements and three loops (D, anti-codon, and T loops). The record is from RNAcentral. Lineage: Bacteria; Bacillati; Actinomycetota; Actinomycetes; Micrococcales; Microbacteriaceae.